RNAcentral lists this ribosomal RNA (468 nucleotides) under uncultured bacterium. RNAcentral's name for it is "partial 16S ribosomal RNA". It matches the Rfam family "Bacterial small subunit ribosomal RNA", at positions 28 to 507 of the family's 1533-position model. The record is from RNAcentral.
GACGAACGCUGGCGGCGUGCUUAACACAUGCAAGUCGAACGGAAAGGCCCUGCUUUUGUGGGGUGCUCGAUUGGCGAACGGGUGAGUAACACGCGAGUAACCUGCCCUUGACUUUGGGAUAACUUCAGGAAACUGGGGCUAAUACCGGAUAGGAUCUCCUGCUGCGUGGUGGGGGUUGGAAAGUUUCGGCGGUGGGGGCUGGACUCGCUGCUUAUGAGCUUGUUGGUGGGGUAGUGGCUUACCAAGGCUUUGACGGGUAGCCGGCAUGAGAGGGUGGACGGCCACAUGGGGACUGAGAUACGGCCCAGACUCGUACGGGACGCAGCAGUGGGGAAUAUUGCACAAUGGGCGGAAGCCUGAUGCAGAAACGCCGCGUUCGGGAUGCCGGCCUUCGGGUUGUAAACAGAUUUCGAAUGUGACGAAGAGUGAGUGACGGUAAUGGGUAAAGAAGCACCGGCUAACUACGUG